RNAcentral lists this ribosomal RNA (265 nucleotides) under uncultured Staphylococcus sp. RNAcentral's name for it is "partial 16S ribosomal RNA". It matches the Rfam family "Bacterial small subunit ribosomal RNA", at positions 96 to 355 of the family's 1533-position model. Lineage: Bacteria; Bacillati; Bacillota; Bacilli; Caryophanales; Staphylococcaceae. The record is from RNAcentral.
CGGCGGACGGGUGAGUAACACGUGGAUAACCUACCUAUAAGACUGGGAUAACUUCGGGAAACCGGAGCUAAUACCGAUAAUAUAUUGAACCGCAUGGUUCAAUAGUGAAAGACGGUUUUGCUGUCACUUAUAGAUGGAUCCGCGCCGCAUUAGCUAGUUGGUAAGGUAACGGCUUACCAAGGCAACGAUGCGUAGCCGACCUGAGAGGGUGAUCGGCCACACUGGAACUGAGACACGGUCCAGACUCCUACGGGAGGCAGCAGCC